RNAcentral lists this long non-coding RNA (256 nucleotides) under Lathyrus oleraceus (garden pea). Its description in RNAcentral is "Pisum sativum (pea) long non-coding RNA (PSAT_LNC001238)". The record is from RNAcentral. Lineage: Eukaryota; Viridiplantae; Streptophyta; Magnoliopsida; Fabales; Fabaceae.
AGAUUUUAUUCCACAUGCUAAGGCUAAUUCAGCGCGAUGCAGUUAGUUGAGAUAAAUAAAUAUUCUUGUUGUAGUGUCCAUUCGCGAGUUGAUGAGAGUUCUAUAUCAAUUAUUUUCUCUGUUUUACGAUGCAAUGAUUACAUUGUUUGCAGAAUAAUUGUGAUAUGUGACACAUCUGUUAAAUAUGUAUUAUUCAUUGUGUUAGGAGGUUAUUUAAUCAUGUAAAAGUUUGUUGGAGGGAGUAUUUUGUUUUAAC